CCUCCUUAUACGAUUUAGAACUUAUUUGUUCGUAGUGUCCACACAGAUGAUUGUUAGUUAGUAAUGCUCUUUGAGUUUACUAAUUAAUAUGCUCUUUAAAAAUUUGGAAAAGCUGAUAAUAAAAUUCGUAUGAAUAACAGUGUUAUUUGUACAGAGUUUUCAAAAGUAAAAAAGAAUGAUAGCAGUAUCAUUCAGUGCCAAUUUAAUCAUUUAUGAUUAAUUGGUAUCUACUUUAGUAUUCAAUAUUAACUUCUGGCGAAGUUAAACUGUCACAUAACAAAGACCCGUUUGGGUUGUAUGGUUAAGUGACUAANCGUACACGGUGGAUGCCU
Molecule: unclassified non-coding RNA, 332 nt
Filed under: uncultured Pseudoalteromonas sp.
Lineage: Bacteria; Pseudomonadati; Pseudomonadota; Gammaproteobacteria; Alteromonadales; Pseudoalteromonadaceae
Description: partial 16S-23S ribosomal RNA intergenic spacer
Source: RNAcentral